This 1080-nucleotide long non-coding RNA is filed under the name Sus scrofa (pig). Its description in RNAcentral is "lncRNA (ENSSSCG00070003024.1)". Lineage: Eukaryota; Metazoa; Chordata; Mammalia; Artiodactyla; Suidae. The record is from RNAcentral.
AGUGCAGUUCUCUGGGCUCAUGUGGUUUCACCAUAUAUGUGUUCUCCUCUUGACAAGUUUUCUCCAUCCUAGAGGAAGGGCCCCAGCUGCCAAACAAAGGGGCUUGGAAGAAAGGGAAAGUGGUGGCAUCGCUCUUCUGCUCUAAGAGCCAAGAUAGAAAACUGGAUUGACCACUUUUUUCCUCUGUUUUUCCAGAAGGAAAUGGUUUCCAGGAAUACUGAUCCUGACUCACUUACCAAGGCAAUGGGCUUAUGGUAUUUGACCCUCAAUGUUCCUCCUGUGCUGCCUGCCAUUCUUCUUUGACUCCACGCCUUUCCGUGUAGAACUUGUGGCCUUUACUCUUUCAUACAUUAUUGUUUUGUUUGAAAAGCCCAGAGCAGCACAGUGCCAGGUUGCAAGGCUGAGAUGCAAUUCAAAAAAUAAUGUGUAAAUAAGAAAGCAGAGAACUUCAAAAAAACAGAAAGGUAGGUAGUGGAUGGAUAUUCACGCUGAGGACUCGCUUGGUGGCAUUGGCAGCCUGACAUUCUUCCGGAACGGGUUUUGAAGAAGAAGCAAGGAUUGCCAAGUAAUGUGAAGCAGGGCCCAGUUGUCAGUUGAACAGUGAGAAAUGGCUGCAGGUGUGACUUAUUGAAAGACUACCUUAGUUUCAAUGUUUAUCAACUGGCUGUCCUCCAGAACCUCAAUUUGGUGUCAUUUGGCAACAAGUCUGACCUAAAGCAAUACAGAUUUAUAAGUGACACCAACACUAAUAGCACAAUCAUUUUGUAGUGCUUUGGAAUUUGCAAAGCCUGUCAAAUCCAUUGUCUUAUUAGAUCUCUGCAAAUACCCUGUAACACGGGCAGGGUAGGUCUUAAUAUGCCUACUUCAGAGGUAGGAAACAGACCGAGAGAGCAUAUAUAUAUAUAUAUAUAUAUAACUAUAUAUAUAUUUAUAACUAUAUAUAUAUAACAAUAUAUAUAUUUAUAACAAUAUAUAUAUAACAAUAUAUAUAUAACUAUAUAUAUGUGUGUGUGUAUAUAUAUAUGUACAUAUAUAUAUAUAUAUAACACAAAAGGAACUGGGGCUGGAAUUUCUGUUUCC